Molecule: unclassified non-coding RNA, 357 nt
Filed under: uncultured bacterium
Lineage: Bacteria
Description: 16S-23S ribosomal RNA intergenic spacer
Source: RNAcentral
CUAAGGAGCAUCUCCCAUGUCAGUGCGUCAUGUAGUUGGCGUUGCUGGUGGGCAGAGCCCGUUUAGUGGACAGUGUUUCGCUGCGGGAGCUCAUGGGUGGAUCACUGGCAAGUAUCCUCAGUCAGGCAGCGUCUCUUUUGUGGGGUGUUGUGGGGGUCUAGUCGACAUACUGUUGGGUCCUGAGGGAACACGCGUUUCGCGUUGUUUGCUCGGUGCUACAUGGACAUGGCCUGCUGGCCGGCGUCUCGCACAUAAGCCUUUGUUGUUUGGGGGUGGGUGUGGGUGUUGGUGUGAGUGGUGGGGUGUGUGUGUUGUUUGAGAACUGGACAGUGGACGCGAACAUCUUUAUUUUUUGUU